AUUGAACGCUGGCGGCAUGCCUUACACAUGCAAGUCGAACGGUAACAGGUUAAGCUGACGAGUGGCGAACGGGUGAGUAAUAUAUCGGAACGUGCCCAGUCGUGGGGGAUAACGUAGCGAAAGCUACGCUAAUACCGCAUACGAUCUACGGAUGAAAGCGGAGGAUCGCAAGACCUCGCGCGGUUGGAGCGGCCGAUAUCAGAUUAGGUUGUUGGUGAGGUAAAAGCUCACCAAGCCUGCGAUCUGUAGCUGGUCUGAGAGGACGACCAGCCACACUGGAACUGAGACACGGUCCAGACUCCUACGGGAGGCAGCAGUGGGGAAUUUUGGACAAUGGACGCAAGUCUGAUCCAGCAAUGCCGCGUGCAGGACGAAGGCCUUCGGGUUGUAAACUGCUUUUGUACGGAACGAAACGGUGAGCUCUAAUACAGUUUGCUAAUGACGGUACCGUAAGAAUAAGCACCGGCUAACUACGUGCCAGCAGCCGCCGUAA
Molecule: ribosomal RNA, 493 nt
Filed under: uncultured bacterium
Lineage: Bacteria
Description: partial 16S ribosomal RNA
Rfam family: Bacterial small subunit ribosomal RNA
Source: RNAcentral